CUUUGAUUCUGUGAGACAAGAACCAAGCUGUCCAGUAUCACUACCAAGUACUACACUGUAAAAAGGAAAUGACCACUCAGCUUAUCACGGAUGCCCCAUCCUCCAUUUUGGUUGAGACCAACUAAAAGAUUGUGUCACUUUGGCUCCAGUAAGGACAAUACUUAUGAACUGUGGCCUGGAUUGCUAAAGAAAAGGCUCUCUCAUCACCAGGUUCCUCAGGAAUGAGAUAAAACAUCAUCAAACCUCAGGGUGCAGGAAAACCCAUUCUUUAACUCACGCUGUAGAUACUCCCAAGACUAUCGCCACAAUGCUUGAGAGGCCUCCUACCACACCAGUUGGAGAAUGCAUUUGUGGUAUUCAUGAACCAAAAGAGGUCUGUGGCUACUGUGUGGAGUCCAUGAUAUCCCAAUAAAGAUGGAAUGUAGAGACACCAAAAUGUGCACAUUUAUCCAUGAGAGACAACAGCUUUCCCAAGUUUCAUUAUUGAGAACAUUUGAAGAUGGUGGAAAGAGUAACCAAUUUCCAUUUACCAGAAUUCCUCAUAGGAAUCAUGUUUUGGCUGUUCUGCCUGAGGGGGAAAGUUCAUCCCUACUUUUAAUUAGGACUGAGUUGUACAUGUACAAUUUUUUUCUUUUUGUGUUUCCAAUUUUCUUUCAUUAAGCAAUUUGUACAUUGAAAUCCAUGUCCUUAGCUAUGCUUGAAGAAAUUACAAUAUCCUUUUCCUCCCUCAGGCUGGAAAAGAAGAGCAGCUGAUGUGUGGAUUAUUCCUUCACUGACAUUUCUCUGCUUCAUAGGCAAGAAACUCAAAAGACCAGCUUGGGGAGGUUUUUAAAAAAUGUGUUUGAAAUAACUUUAGACAUGUAAUAGUUGUAAAAAUCCUGCAGAGUUUCCAUAUAUCCCUGACCCAGUUUUUCCCAAUGUUAACAUCUUAUGCAAUCAGAGAACCAGGAAAUUAGCAUUGAUAGAAUGAAUUCUAGUAAAAGUCUUAUUUGACUUUUACCAGCAUUCCCAGUAAUGCCCUUUUUCUUUUCCAAGAUCCUAUUCAGGAUCUCACGUUGUUUUUAGUUGUCAUUUCUUUGAGAGGAAUAUUUGCAGUCAGGAAAACAGAAUUAACGUGCACCUUCCCCCCAUUCUCUUUCUCUACACUUGGCAAGUUUUGUUUCUAAGGAGGAUUUUCUAAUACCUUGGAGACAGUCAGCGAUAUCAUUAAAGAAAUAGGGCUCAAAUCUUUGAUUUUUGCAUGACUAUAUCCCUUAAUAGACUGUAAAUUCCUUGGGACACUUUUUGAUUUGCCACAAUACAAAUUUGAUGAAGAAACAAAUGAACAUAAUUUUCAAAAUAUUCUGCAAGGUUUGCGGUGUUGUGAUUUGUUGUGGCAGCUCAGCAGUGGUGCAGAAAUGACCCACUCAUCUGAGCAACCACCAGUGUCACUUAGCGAAGCUUCCAUGGUGGUUAAUAUGUACUUACCAUAUCGAGC
This is a long non-coding RNA of Nyctereutes procyonoides (raccoon dog), 1477 nucleotides long. RefSeq lists it as uncharacterized. NCBI's taxonomy places the organism in Eukaryota, Metazoa, Chordata, Mammalia, Carnivora, Canidae. The transcript has 4 exons. The record is from RefSeq and is a predicted model, not a curated record.